RNAcentral lists this ribosomal RNA (407 nucleotides) under uncultured soil bacterium. Its description in RNAcentral is "bacterial SSU rRNA". It matches the Rfam family "Bacterial small subunit ribosomal RNA", at positions 26 to 425 of the family's 1533-position model. The record is from RNAcentral.
AGAUUGAACGCUGGCGGCAUGCCUUACACAUGCAAGUCGAACGGCAGCACGGGAGCAAUCCUGGUGGCGAGUGGCGAACGGGUGAGUAAUACAUCGGAACGUGCCCAGUAGUGGGGGAUAACCCGGCGAAAGCCGGACUAAUACCGCAUACGACCUACGGGUGAAAGCAGGGGAUCGCAAGACCUUGCGCUAUCGGAGCGGCCGAUGUCAGAUUAGCUUGUUGGCGGGGUAAAAACGCCCACCAAGGCGUACGAAUCUGUAGCGUGUCUGAGAGGACGACCAGCCACACUGGACUGAGACACGGCCCAGACUACCUACGGGAGGCAGACGAGUGGGGAAUUUUGGACAAUGGGCGCAAGCCUGAUCCAGCCAUAGCCGCGUGGACCGGGAAGAAGGCCGUUCGGUUA